RNAcentral lists this ribosomal RNA (253 nucleotides) under uncultured bacterium. RNAcentral describes it as "partial 16S ribosomal RNA". It matches the Rfam family "Bacterial small subunit ribosomal RNA", at positions 524 to 776 of the family's 1533-position model. The record is from RNAcentral.
UACAGAGGGUGCAAGCGUUAAUCGGAAUUACUGGGCGUAAAGCGUGCGUAGACGGUUACAUAAGUCGGGUGUGAAAGCCCCGGGCUCAACCUGGGAAUUGCAUUCGAGACUGCGUAGCUAGGGUGCGGAAGAGGGAAGCGGAAUUUCCGGUGUAGCGGUGAAAUGCGCAGAUAUCAGGAGGAACACCGGUGGCGAAGGCGGUUCUCUGGGCAUUACCUGACGCUGAGGAGCGAAAGUGUGGGGAGCGAACAGG